Molecule: ribosomal RNA, 433 nt
Filed under: uncultured bacterium
Lineage: Bacteria
Description: partial 16S ribosomal RNA
Rfam family: Bacterial small subunit ribosomal RNA
Source: RNAcentral
AACGAACGCUGGCGGCAUGCCUAACACAUGUAAGUCGAACGAGACCUUCGGGUCUAGUGGCGCACGGGUGCGUAACGCGUGGGAACCUGCCCUUAGGUUCGGAAUAACUCCCCGAAAGGGGUGCUAAUACCGGAUAAUGUCUUCGGACCAAAGAUUUAUCGCCUUUGGAUGGGCCCGCGUUGGGUUAGCUAGUUGGUAGGGUAAAAGCCUACCAAGGCGACGAUCCAUAGCUGGUCUGAGAGGAUGAUCAGCCACACUGGGACUGAGACACGGCCCAGACUCCUACGGGAGGCAGCAGUGGGGAAUAUUGGACAAUGGGCGAAAGCCUGAUCCAGCAAUGCCGCGUGAGUGAUGAAGGCCUUAGGGUUGUAAAGCUCUUUUACCCGGGAUGAUAAUGACAGUACCGGGAGAAUAAGCUCCGGCUAACUCCGUG